AACGAACGCUGGCGGCAGGCUUAACACAUGCAAGUCGAGCGCGUAGCAAUACGAGCGGCAGACGGGUGAGUAACGCGUGGGAAUCUACCCAACCCUACGGAAUAACGCAUGGAAACGUGUGCUAAUACCGUAUACGCCCUUCGGGGAAAGAUUUAUCGGGAUGGAUGAGCCCGCGUUGGAUUAGCUAGUUGGUGGGGUAAAGGCCUACCAAGGCGACGAUCCAUAGCUGGUCUGAGAGGAUGAUCAGCCACAUUGGGACUGAGACACGGCCCAAACUCCUACGGGAGGCAGCAGUGGGGGAAUAUUGGACAAUGGGCGCAAGCCUGAUCCAGCCAUGCCGCGUGAGUGAUGAAGGCCUUAGGGUUGUAAAAGCUCUUUCACCGGUGAAGAUAAUGACGGUAACCGGAGAAGAAGCCCCGGCUAACUUCGUGCCAGCAGCCGCGGU
Molecule: ribosomal RNA, 445 nt
Filed under: uncultured bacterium
Lineage: Bacteria
Description: bacterial SSU rRNA
Rfam family: Bacterial small subunit ribosomal RNA
Source: RNAcentral